UCCAGAGGGGCUAGAAGUCUGUCAUG
This 26-nucleotide non-coding RNA is filed under the name Rattus norvegicus (Norway rat). Lineage: Eukaryota; Metazoa; Chordata; Mammalia; Rodentia; Muridae. The record is from RNAcentral.